UGGGGAAUAUUGCACAAUGGGGGAAACCCUGAUGCAGCAACGCCGCGUGAGCGAUGAAGGCCUUCGGGUCGUAAGCUCUGUCCUAAGGGAAGAAUGAUGACGGUACCUUAGGAGGAAGCCCCGGCUAACUACGUGCCAGCAGCCGCGGUAAUACGUAGGGGGCGAGCGUUAUCCGGAAUCACUGGGCGUAAAGGGUGCGUAGGCGGCCGAUAAAGUCAGGGGUGAAAGGCUACGGCUUAACCGUAGUAAGCCUUUGAAACUUAUUGGCUUGAGUGCAGGAGAGGAGAGUGGAAUUCCUAGUGUAGCGGUGAAAUGCGUAGAUAUUAGGAGGAACACCAGUGGCGAAGGCGACUCUCUGGGACUGUAACUGACGCUGAGGCACGAAAGCGUGGGGAGCGAACAGGAUUAGAUACCCUGGUAGUCCACGCCGUAAACGAUGAGUGCUAGGUGUCGGAG
RNAcentral lists this ribosomal RNA (456 nucleotides) under uncultured Bacillota bacterium. RNAcentral describes it as "bacterial SSU rRNA". It matches the Rfam family "Bacterial small subunit ribosomal RNA", at positions 355 to 828 of the family's 1533-position model. Lineage: Bacteria; Bacillati; Bacillota. The record is from RNAcentral.